GCUAUCUCUUACCCAUGUCUUUUGAGUACCUUCGUUUCCUCGGCGGGUCCGCCCGCCGAUUGGACACAUUUAAACCCUUUGUAGUUGCAAUCAGCGUCUGAAAAACUUUAAUAGUUACAACUUUCAACAACGGAUCUCUUGGUUCUGGCAUCGAUGAAGAACGCAGCGAAAUGCGAUAAGUAGUGUGAAUUGCAGAAUUCAGUGAAUCAUCGAAUCUUUGAACGCACAUUGCGCCCCUUGGUAUUCCAUGGGGCAUGCCUGUUCGAGCGUCAUUUGUACCUUCAAGCUUUGCUUGGUGUUGGGUGUUUGUCUCGCCUCUGCGCGCAGACUCGCCUCAAAACAAUUGGCAGCCGGCGUAUUGAUUUCGGAGCGCAGUACAUCUCGCGCUUUGCACUCAUAACGACGACGUCCAAAAAGUACAUUUUUUACACUCUUGACCUCGGAUCAGGUAGGGAUACCCGCUGAACUUAAGCAUAU
Molecule: ribosomal RNA, 477 nt
Filed under: Paraphoma radicina
Lineage: Eukaryota; Fungi; Ascomycota; Dothideomycetes; Pleosporales; Phaeosphaeriaceae
Description: eukaryotic LSU rRNA
Rfam family: 5.8S ribosomal RNA (bases 119-272)
Source: RNAcentral